UGGGGAAUUUUGGACAAUGGGGGAAACCCUGAUCCAGCCAUCCCGCGUGUGCGAUGAAGGCCUUCGGGUUGUAAAGCACUUUUGGCAGGAAAGAAACGUCAUGGGUUAAUACCCCGUGAAACUGACGGUACCUGCAGAAUAAGCACCGGCUAACUACGUGCCAGCAGCCGCGGUAAUACGUAGGGUGCAAGCGUUAAUCGGAAUUACUGGGCGUAAAGCGUGCGCAGGCGGUUCGGAAAGAAAGAUCUGAAAUCCCAGAGCUCAACUUUGGAACUGCAUUUUUAACUACCGGGCUAGAGUGUGUCAGAGGGAGGUGGAAUUCCGCGUGUAGCAGUGAAAUGCGUAGAUAUGCGGAGGAACACCGAUGGCGAAGGCAGCCGCCUGGGAUAACACUGACGCUAAUGCACGAAAGCGUGGGGAGCAAACAGG
RNAcentral lists this ribosomal RNA (429 nucleotides) under Acidobacteriota bacterium. Its description in RNAcentral is "Acidobacteria bacterium partial 16S ribosomal RNA". It matches the Rfam family "Bacterial small subunit ribosomal RNA", at positions 355 to 776 of the family's 1533-position model. Lineage: Bacteria; Pseudomonadati; Acidobacteriota. The record is from RNAcentral.